AUCGCUUCAGCGGCCCUUUUGGCUGCUAAGAUCAAGUGUAGUUAUCUGUUCUUAUCAGUUUAAUAUUCUGAUUACGUCCCCCAUCGGGGGGACUACUAAUAUUAAAUGGCAUUUUUUUCGAAACAGGGAGUCGGCAGCGGGCUUGCUCCGUCCGCUCCACGCAUCGACUCGUUAUUCCUGCGUACCUCCGAAGAACGGUAGUGCACCCCUC
RNAcentral lists this small nuclear RNA (211 nucleotides) under Esox lucius (northern pike). RNAcentral describes it as "U2 spliceosomal RNA". It matches the Rfam family "U2 spliceosomal RNA". Rfam says of the family: U2 is a small nuclear RNA (snRNA) component of the spliceosome (involved in pre-mRNA splicing). Complementary binding between U2 snRNA (in an area lying towards the 5' end but 3' to hairpin I) and the branchpoint sequence (BPS) of the intron results the bulging out of an unpaired adenosine, on the BPS, which initiates a nucleophilic attack at the intronic 5' splice site, thus starting the first of two transesterification reactions that mediate splicing. Lineage: Eukaryota; Metazoa; Chordata; Actinopteri; Esociformes; Esocidae. The record is from Rfam by way of RNAcentral.